RNAcentral lists this ribosomal RNA (923 nucleotides) under Salmonella enterica subsp. enterica serovar Virchow. RNAcentral's name for it is "partial 23S ribosomal RNA". It matches the Rfam family "Bacterial large subunit ribosomal RNA", at positions 1467 to 2368 of the family's 2925-position model. Lineage: Bacteria; Pseudomonadati; Pseudomonadota; Gammaproteobacteria; Enterobacterales; Enterobacteriaceae. The record is from RNAcentral.
GGGGGACGGAGAAGGCUAUGUUGGCCGGGCGACGGUUGUCCCGGUUUAAGCGUGUAGGUGUGUGUUCCAGGUAAAUCCGGUUCACUUUAACACUGAGGCGUGACGACGAGGCACUACGGUGCUGAAGCAACAAAUGCCCUGCUUCCAGGAAAAGCCUCUAAGCAUCAGGUAACAUCAAAUCGUACCCCAAACCGACACAGGUGGUCAGGUAGAGAAUACCAAGGCGCUUGAGAGAACUCGGGUGAAGGAACUAGGCAAAAUGGUGCCGUAACUUCGGGAGAAGGCACGCUGACACGUAGGUGAAGUGAUUUACUCAUGGAGCUGAAGUCAGUCGAAGAUACCAGCUGGCUGCAACUGUUUAUUAAAAACACAGCACUGUGCAAACACGAAAGUGGACGUAUACGGUGUGACGCCUGCCCGGUGCCGGAAGGUUAAUUGAUGGGGUCAGCGCAAGCGAAGCUCCUGAUCGAAGCCCCGGUAAACGGCGGCCGUAACUAUAACGGUCCUAAGGUAGCGAAAUUCCUUGUCGGGUAAGUUCCGACCUGCACGAAUGGCGUAAUGAUGGCCAGGCUGUCUCCACCCGAGACUCAGUGAAAUUGAACUCGCUGUGAAGAUGCAGUGUACCCGCGGCAAGACGGAAAGACCCCGUGAACCUUUACUAUAGCUUGACACUGAACAUUGAGCCUUGAUGUGUAGGAUAGGUGGGAGGCUUUGAAGUGUGGACGCCAGUCUGCAUGGAGCCGACCUUGAAAUACCACCCUUUAAUGUUUGAUGUUCUAACGUGGACCCGUAAUCCGGGUUGCGGACAGUGUCUGGUGGGUAGUUUGACUGGGGCGGUCUCCUCCUAAAGAGUAACGGAGGAGCACGAAGGUUGGCUAAUCCUGGUCGGACAUCAGGAGGUUAGUGCAAUGGCAUAAGCCAGC